GGCAGGAAUCACCUAUUGUUCGUCUGUAAACUCCAAUGAGAAACAUACAGUCUGGUGUAUGGGAGGUCAUCAAAACAAGUGUGGAGGUAUAAGCUAAGACUGACAACUGCCUCCCAAGUUUCUAUUCAAAAGUAAUCAUUUUGGAUGUAAAUCUCAUCAGGAAUGUGUUUAAACUCAGGAACUGCUGAAUUGUACUGUAACUUGGCUCAUCCCAAAUAGUGCAGUUGUCUUCACAAUGGAGAGACUGUCACAGCCUAAAAAGACACGUGACUCUGAGCAUCAGUUUACUGGCUGCCCACUCAAUGAUUCAGACUCCUCCAUUCUUUGUGUGGAAGAGAACUGGCCUUCCGGGAGCCUGAGGCCAAGUGAGAGAACCUUCUGAAAGCCGUCACUGCAUGGGGAGCCUGGACUUACCCUUUGCCUUGUUGGAGCUGUUUGUCUAUUUCCGUCUCGAAGUUCUCUAUA
Molecule: long non-coding RNA, 465 nt
Organism: Homo sapiens (human)
Lineage: Eukaryota; Metazoa; Chordata; Mammalia; Primates; Hominidae
Gene: FREM2-AS1
Product: FREM2 antisense RNA 1
Source: Ensembl